AUGAUGAAGAAAAGCUGUUGUUGUUCGCUACGGGAGGGCGCCGUGACUGCUGGGAUUCUGCUGUCGAUCCUGUCCUUGGCAGAGGUGGGGUUUGAGCUGUGGCUGUUGUUGUCCGGCCGAUCUGUCGAUCUUAAUUACUACGGUGUCCUGACGGCAGUCGGAGUGGACGCGCUGCUCUUUCUUCUGAACGUCAUGCUCAUCAUCGGAGCUUGUCUG
This is a long non-coding RNA of Branchiostoma floridae (Florida lancelet), 216 nucleotides long. RefSeq lists it as uncharacterized. The record is from RefSeq and is a predicted model, not a curated record. Lineage: Eukaryota; Metazoa; Chordata; Leptocardii; Amphioxiformes; Branchiostomatidae. The transcript has 3 exons.